GAGGUGGGGAAUUUGGUGGUGGAGGUGAGCGUAUACAAUAAGGCAAUGGUGAUGGAGGAGGUGGAGAUGGUGGUGGCGAAUAAACGGGUGGGGGAGGAGGUGGAGGUGAUGGUGGAGGGGGAGAUGGUGGCGGUGGUGGUGAUGAAUAAACUGGUGGUGGAGGUGGAGAUGGCGGGGGUGGUGGUGGAGGUGAUGGUGGAGGAGGAGAUGGAGGUGGGGGUGGAGGUGAAUAGACUGGUGGUGGAGGCGGGGGAGGUGAUGGAGGAGGUGGAGAGGGUGGUGGUGGCGGUGGUGAAUAAACUGGAGGUGGAGGAGGUGGUGGGGAAGGAGAAGGAGGAGUAUAAACUGGUGGCGGAGGCGAAUAAACAGGUGGCGGAGGGGCAGGCAAGGGCGGUGAAAGUGGCGGAGGAGGUGGCAAAACAGGAACAAAUUUAUGACACCUGAAAGCACUACAAUGAAUUUUUUUAGACAAAAAGGCCUUACACUGUCCCGGAGAGCGUUGCACCGGUCUGUUGGGCAAACAAUUCCGUUCAUCAUGAAACUCCGGCAACCCCAAACACACCGGCGGUUCACCAGUGAAGAAAUUAUAAGA
Molecule: long non-coding RNA, 592 nt
Filed under: Solanum tuberosum (potato)
Lineage: Eukaryota; Viridiplantae; Streptophyta; Magnoliopsida; Solanales; Solanaceae
Description: long non-coding RNA (STUB_LNC011166)
Source: RNAcentral